AACGCGAAGAACCUUACCAAGGCUUGACAUGUCGGAAGUAGUGAACCGAAAGAGGAACCACCUGUUAAGUCAGGAGCCGACACAGGUGCUGCAUGGCUGUCGUCAGCUCGUGCCGUGAGGUGUAUGGUUAAGUCCUGCAACGAGCGCAACCCCUGUUGUCAGUUGUUUUCUCUAGCGAGACUGCCCUGCAAAACGGGGAGGAAGGUGGGGAUGACGUCAAGUCAGCACGGCCCUUAUGCCUUGGGCUACACACACGCUACAAUGGGUGGUACAAUGGGUAGCAAUAGAGCGAUCUGGAGCCAAUCCUAUAAAGCCAUCCUCAGUUCGGAUUGCAGGCUGAAACCCGCCUGCAUGAAGUUGGAGUUGCUAGUAACCGCAGGUCAGCAUACUGCAGUGAAUACGUUCUCGGGCCUUGUACACACCGCCCGUCACGUCAUGAAAGUUGGCAACACCUGAAGUCGAUGGGCUAACUCCGACUUAUCGGAGAGGCAGUCGCCGAGGGUGGGGUUAAUGAUUGGGACGAAGUCGUAACAAGGUAACCUUAAUUAAAA
This 551-nucleotide ribosomal RNA is filed under the name uncultured bacterium. RNAcentral's name for it is "bacterial SSU rRNA". It matches the Rfam family "Bacterial small subunit ribosomal RNA", at positions 958 to 1511 of the family's 1533-position model. The record is from RNAcentral.